AAGGCCCUAGCUUAAUUAAAGCGUCUGGGUUGCAUUCAGGAGAUGUAGGUUAGUCACUACGGGUCUUA
This 68-nucleotide transfer RNA is filed under the name Platalea minor (black-faced spoonbill). RNAcentral describes it as "tRNA-Ala". It matches the Rfam family "tRNA". Rfam says of the family: Transfer RNA (tRNA) molecules are approximately 80 nucleotides in length. Their secondary structure includes four short double-helical elements and three loops (D, anti-codon, and T loops). Lineage: Eukaryota; Metazoa; Chordata; Aves; Pelecaniformes; Threskiornithidae. The record is from RNAcentral.